AACUUUCAGCAACGGAUCUCUUGGCUCUCGUAUCGAUGAAGAACGCAGCGAAAUGCGAUAAGUAAUGUGAAUUGCAGAAUUCAGUGAAUCAUCGAAUCUUUGAACGCACCUUGCGCUCCUUGGUAUUCCGAGGAGCAUGCCUGUUUGAGUGUCAUUAAUAUAUCAACCUUCUCUUGUUGAGUUGUUUGGAUGUGGGGGUUUGCUGGCCUCUUUAAAAGGUUUUUCAGCUCCCCUGAAAUGCAUUAGCAGAAACAGCCCUGUUCAUUGGUGUGAUAACUAUCUACGCUAUUGAAUGUGAAGGGCAGUUUGGCUUUCUAACGGUCCUUGGACAGCUCAUCAUUAAUGUGACCUCAAAUCAGGUAGGACUACCCGCUGAACUUAAGCAUAUCAAUAAGCGGAGGCU
Molecule: unclassified non-coding RNA, 403 nt
Filed under: uncultured Cortinarius
Lineage: Eukaryota; Fungi; Basidiomycota; Agaricomycetes; Agaricales; Cortinariaceae
Description: sequence contains ITS2
Rfam family: 5.8S ribosomal RNA (bases 1-154)
Source: RNAcentral